This 712-nucleotide ribosomal RNA is filed under the name uncultured Clostridium sp. RNAcentral's name for it is "bacterial SSU rRNA". It matches the Rfam family "Bacterial small subunit ribosomal RNA", at positions 28 to 768 of the family's 1533-position model. Lineage: Bacteria; Bacillati; Bacillota; Clostridia; Eubacteriales; Clostridiaceae. The record is from RNAcentral.
GAUGAACGCUGGCGGCGUGCCUAACACAUGCAAGUCGAGCGAUCUUCUUCGGAAGGGAGCGGCGGACGGGUGAGUAGCGCGUGGGUAACCUGCCCUGUACACACGGAUAACAUACCGAAAGGUAUGCUAAUACGGGAUAACAUAAGAAAGUCGCAUGGCUUUCUUAUCAAAGCUUUUGCGGUACAGGAUGGACCCGCGUCUGAUUAGCUAGUUGGUAAGGUAACGGCUUACCAAGGCGACGAUCAGUAGCCGACCUGAGAGGGUGAUCGGCCACAUUGGAACUGAGACACGGUCCAAACUCCUACGGGAGGCAGCAGUGGGGAAUAUUGCACAAUGGGCGAAAGCCUGAUGCAGCAACGCCGCGUGAGCGAUGAAGGCCUUCGGGUCGUAAAGCUUUGUCCUCAAGGAAGAUAAUGACGGUACUUGAGGAGGAAGCCCCGGCUAACUACGUGCCAGCAGCCGCGGUAAUACGUAGGGGGCUAGCGUUAUCCGGAAUUACUGGGCGUAAAGGGUGCGUAGGCGGUCUUUCAAGUCAGAAGUGAAAGGCUACGGCUCAACCGUAGUAAGCUUUUGAAACUGUAAGACUUGAGUGCAGGAGAGGAGAGUGGAAUUCCUAGUGUAGCGGUGAAAUGCGUAGAUAUUAGGAGGAACACCAGUUGCGAAGGCGGCUCUCUGGACUGUAACUGACGCUGAGGCACGAAAGCGUGGGGAG